GGGGAGGUGGGUGAGUGGCUGAAACCGCACCCCUGCUAAGGGUGUAUACCGCAAGGUAUCGAGGGUUCGAAUCCCUCCCUCUCCG
RNAcentral lists this transfer RNA (85 nucleotides) under Deinococcus proteolyticus MRP. It matches the Rfam family "tRNA". Rfam says of the family: Transfer RNA (tRNA) molecules are approximately 80 nucleotides in length. Their secondary structure includes four short double-helical elements and three loops (D, anti-codon, and T loops). The record is from Rfam by way of RNAcentral. Lineage: Bacteria; Thermotogati; Deinococcota; Deinococci; Deinococcales; Deinococcaceae.